Molecule: ribosomal RNA, 301 nt
Filed under: uncultured bacterium
Lineage: Bacteria
Description: partial 16S ribosomal RNA
Rfam family: Bacterial small subunit ribosomal RNA
Source: RNAcentral
CAGCCGCCGCGGGAAUACGAAGGGUGCGAGCGUUGUUCGGAUUUACUGGGCGUAAAGCGCACGUAGGCGGACUUCUAAGUCAGGGGUGAAAUCCCGGGGCUCAACCCCGGAACUGCCUUUGAUACUGGAAGUCUUGAGUAUGGUAGAGGUGAGUGGAAUUCCGAGUGUAGAGGUGAAAUUCGUAGAUAUUCGGAGGAACACCAGUGGCGAAGGCGGCUCACUGGACCAUUACUGACGCUGAGGUGCGAAAGCGUGGGGAGCAGACAGGAUUAGAUACCCCCGUAGUCCCUGUCUCUUAUAC